GACAGAGGAUGCAAGCGAUAUCCGGAAUUAUUGUGCGUAAAGAGUACGUAGGCGGCUUAUCAAGUCAGGGGUUAAAUCCCGCAGAUUAACUGCGGAUCUGACUUUGAAACUGAUCGGCUAGAGUAUUGUAGGGGUAGAGGGAAUUCCCGGUGUAGCGGUGAAAUGCGUAGAUAUCGGGAAGAACACCUGUGGCUAAAGCGAUCUAAUGGACCAUAACUGACGCUGAGGUACGAACGCUUGGGGAGCGAAUGGG
RNAcentral lists this ribosomal RNA (253 nucleotides) under uncultured bacterium. RNAcentral describes it as "partial 16S ribosomal RNA". It matches the Rfam family "Bacterial small subunit ribosomal RNA", at positions 524 to 776 of the family's 1533-position model. The record is from RNAcentral.